Molecule: ribosomal RNA, 740 nt
Filed under: uncultured bacterium
Lineage: Bacteria
Description: bacterial SSU rRNA
Rfam family: Bacterial small subunit ribosomal RNA
Source: RNAcentral
CUACACAUGCAAGUCGAACGAAGAACAGCUUGAAGCUUGCUUUAGACUGUUUUUAGUGGCGGACGGGUGAGUAACGCGUGAGUAACCUGCCUUUCAGAGGGGGAUAACGUUCUGAAAAGAACGCUAAUACCGCAUGACAUUUCGAAGCCGCAUGGUUUUGGAAUCAAAGGAGCAAUCCGCUGAAAGAUGGACUCGCGUCCGAUUAGCUAGUUGGUGAGGUAAUGGCUCACAAAGGCGACGAUCGGUAGCCGGAUUGAGAGGUUGAUCGGCCACAUUGGGACUGAGACACGGCCCAGACUCCUACGGGAGGCAGCAGUGGGGGAUAUUGCACAAUGGAGGAAACUCUGAUGCAGCAACGCCGCGUGAGGGAAGAAGGUUUUCGGAUUGUAAACCUCUGUCCUUGGUGACGAUAAUGACGGUAGCCAAGGAGGAAGCUCCGGCUAACUACGUGCCAGCAGCCGCGGUAAUACGUAGGGAGCAAGCGUUGUCCGGAUUUACUGGGUGUAAAGGGUGCGUAGGCGGCACUGCAAGUCAGGCGUGAAAGGCGGAGGCUUAACCUCCGAGUUGCGUUUGAAACUGUGGUGCUUGAGUGAAGUAGAGGUAGGCGGAAUUCCCGGUGUAGCGGUGAAAUGCGUAGAGAUCGGGAGGAACACCAGUGGCGAAGGCGGCCUACUGGGCUUUAACUGACGCUGAGGCACGAAAGCAUGGGUAGCAAACAGGAUUAGAUACCCUGGUAGUCC